AUGUGUAGGUUUAUUUUUAAAUACUUGAGGAUAGAGCUCAGGGACAAAACUGUCUUGAUUCUUUCCCUUCAGGUUUCCACAAGAGGAGAAAAUGUUCCCUUAUUCUUUCCACAAAGGAAGAAGGAAACUAAGGGGUCAGCCUUGAGCUCACUUCCGACCUGCUUCUUGGAAAAUGAUCCAAUUGAGAGGAAAAAAGGAACGGAAAUGGACAUCAGAUACGCAGCUGCUCACCUUCUCCUUCAAUUCAGUCCUCUCCAGGAAGAAAAACAAUCUUCAGAAAGGAAGAGAAAGAAACAACAUAAAGAAGAAAACAUAGCCCACAAUAAGUAACGAAACAAUAGAAGAUCUAGUAGCUGCUUUAAGAGGGUCUAAAUCUCCAGCAAAAGCAAUCUACAUUUCACCAUAGCUAACUAAAUUUAAAACUUGUUAUCUAUAAUCUGCUAUCAGUAAUCACACUGAGGAAUCAUGACAAAUGACUAAAAGAAGAAAACAGGAGGAU
RNAcentral lists this long non-coding RNA (499 nucleotides) under Mustela putorius furo (domestic ferret). Its description in RNAcentral is "lncRNA (ENSMPUG00000030473.1)". The record is from RNAcentral. Lineage: Eukaryota; Metazoa; Chordata; Mammalia; Carnivora; Mustelidae.